This is a long non-coding RNA of Ictalurus punctatus (channel catfish), 728 nucleotides long. Lineage: Eukaryota; Metazoa; Chordata; Actinopteri; Siluriformes; Ictaluridae. The record is from Ensembl.
UGUAAUGAUAUGGCAUAAUGAUAGUGUAAUGAUACGGUGUAAUGAUGGUGUAAUUAUAGUGUAGUGAUAUGGUGUAAUGAUAUGGUGUAAUAAUACGGGAUAAUGAUAGUGUAAUGAUACGGCGUAAUGAUACGGUGUAAUGGUAGUGUAAUGAUACGGUGUAAUGAUAGUGUAAUGAUACGGCGUAAUGAUACGGUGUAAUGAUAGUGUAAUUAUAGUGUAGUGAUACGGUGUAUUGAUAUGGUGUAAUAAUACGGGAUAAUGAUAGUGUAAUUAGCGACACAACAUCAAGUGUUCUGUAAGUUUUGUUCAACAGUUCUGUGAAGUAAAAUAAAUAGUAAAGCAAUGCCGAUGAUGCGUUUUUUUAAAUAUCCAUUUUUAACAUUUCUGAGUUCUUCUGCUGAAAACAGUUCCCCUCAAGUCUCCUAUAGCUGUGUAACAAAGCAACAACGUCACGUUAUAACACUGAAAUGGAAACAAACAUCACAGGUCAUGUUUUUUCCUCAUAGUUACUGUGUGUGUGUGUGUGUGUGUGUGUGUGUGUGUUAGAAGAAAGGGAUAAAGAACAGGAUUUAACACAGAGGGAAUUAUUGUGCUGGUUCCUGCACAAGUGACACAUCGCAAGUUGUAUCACUGUUCAUUCAAACCCUUCCUGGUCCUGACCUCCGACCUUUCACCUCUAAUAGAACUCAAAUAAGUCUGAUCUUGUUUCAGUUUUAAACAGGCAG